AACGAACGCUGGCGGCAGGCCUAACACAUGCAAGUCGAACGAGUAAGAGCCGUAGCAAUACGGAGUUCUGCUAGUGGCGCACGGGUGAGUAACGCGUGGGAACGUGCCUUGGAGUUCGGGAUAACAGUUGGAAACGACUGCUAAUACCGAAUAUUCCCUCAGGGGGAAAGAUUUAUCGCUCCAAGAUCGGCCCGCGUAAGAUUAGGUAGUUGGUGGGGUAAUGGCCUAACCAAGCCUACGAUCUUUAGCUGGUCUGAGAGGACGACCAGCCAACACUGGAACUGAGACACGGUCCAGACUCCUAGGGAGGCAGCAGUGGGGAAUAUUGGAC
RNAcentral lists this ribosomal RNA (331 nucleotides) under uncultured bacterium. RNAcentral describes it as "bacterial SSU rRNA". It matches the Rfam family "Bacterial small subunit ribosomal RNA", at positions 29 to 369 of the family's 1533-position model. The record is from RNAcentral.